This 492-nucleotide long non-coding RNA is filed under the name Chinchilla lanigera (long-tailed chinchilla). Its description in RNAcentral is "lncRNA (ENSCLAG00000029237.1)". Lineage: Eukaryota; Metazoa; Chordata; Mammalia; Rodentia; Chinchillidae. The record is from RNAcentral.
UCUCACAGCUGAGAAAUCUUGAAAACCUAUUUUGUGACACUCAUGUAGCCAUGAUGAGCUUUCAUGAAGAAUGUGAAAUGCAUAAAACAUUGACAACUGCCGUGAGAUCUUCUCCCUGGGAAGUAAGCAGCUCUUUCUUCGCUUGCUCUUGGGGAUCAAGGUCAGAAGCCAAGCUGGAAAAUUUCACAAGGCCAUGAACAUCAAUAAAGCCACACUUUGAGUGAAGAAGAAGCUGAAGAGACACCACUAGCCUGGGAAUCAGAAUAAUCGGGGUCCUUCUCCCAGUUCUGGUGUCUCCAAGCUGGGUGGUAUAAAGAAUUACCUUUUUGAAAUAAGACAAGCUGCCUGCUGAAAAGAGGUAAGCAGAGUAGUUACACCUAUAGGUUUGACAGCUAGGUUUGCUAGGUUUGAAUCGCAUCUCCAUCACCCACCUGCCUUGUGACCCUAUGCAAGACUUAUAAGCACUAUUAUCUUUGAUUUUCCCUUACAUGA